RNAcentral lists this ribosomal RNA (745 nucleotides) under uncultured soil bacterium. RNAcentral's name for it is "bacterial SSU rRNA". It matches the Rfam family "Bacterial small subunit ribosomal RNA", at positions 84 to 858 of the family's 1533-position model. The record is from RNAcentral.
CCCUGAGUACAGUGGCGCACGGGUGAGUAACACGUGAAUCAUCUACCUCCGAGUGGGGAAUAACCUAGGGAAACCUGGGCUAAUACCGCAUAACACUUACGAGUCAAAGCAGCAAUGCGCUUGGAGAGGAGUUCGCGGCAGAUUAGUUAGUUGGCGGGGUAAUGGCCCACCAAGACGAUGAUCUGUAUCCGGCCUGAGAGGGCGCACGGACACACUGGAACUGAAACACGGUCCAGACUCCUACGGGAGGCAGCAGUGGGGAAUUUUGCGCAAUGGGGGAAACCCUGACGCAGCAACGCCGCGUGGAGGAUGAAAUCCCUUGGGAUGUAAACUCCUUUCGAUCGGGACGAUUAUGACGGUACCGGAAGAAGAAGCCCCGGCUAACUUCGUGCCAGCAGCCGCGGUAAUACGAGGGGGGCGAGCGUUGUUCGGAAUUAUUGGGCGUAAAGGGUGCGUAGGCGGUUUGAUAAGUCUGAUGUGAAAUCUAUGGGCUCAACCCAUAGCCUGCAUUAGAAACUGUCGGGCUUGAGUAUGGGAGAGGUGAGUGGAAUUUCCGGUGUAGCGGUGAAAUGCGUAGAUAUCGGAAGGAACACCUGUGGCGAAAGCGGCUCACUGGACCAUUACUGACGCUGAUGCACGAAAGCUAGGGGAGCAAACAGGAUUAGAUACCCUGGUAGUCCUAGCACUAAACGAUGAUUGCUUGAUGUGGAGGGUACCCAAUUCCUUCCCGUGUCGAAGCUAACUC